GCUACAUCCAAGACGCCAAGACCAGACCAACUGCCUGGAAAAAGCAGAAUCAGCCAAGCUGCCUAGAAGAGGUGUAGACCAACUGAGUCACCAGGAAAAGACAUUCACCAACCUGUUGAGCUGUGGGCAGAUGUAAUACCUGUCCCUGGACUUCUGUCUUUAGAACAUAAGCUGACAGUAAACAGUGCUCAUUUCUGCAUAUGGUGGGCUGUGACUUGCCCUGGAGACCCUGAGAUGUGGCAAGCGUGCAGGAAUGAUGACGAGCAGAAACCAUGGCCAGCAAGAUCUGAGAUAUGGAAGUCUCUCUUCCCUUUGGAAUUAUAUGUGACUUGGGGAAGAGUAUUGUUCUCAUGGUUUCUAUCAAGUGGAAUAACACACAGUUCUGAAACAAAGAAAGAUAUGAAGGUUCCUUCCAUGAUGUGACAGGAGCCCUCCUAUGUUCCCGGUGCACUCCAGCAUCAAGCACAUGGUAGGAGCACACUCCACACCUACUAUGAAUGUUUACUCCAUACACACAGGGAGGG
Molecule: long non-coding RNA, 524 nt
Filed under: Cricetulus griseus (Chinese hamster)
Lineage: Eukaryota; Metazoa; Chordata; Mammalia; Rodentia; Cricetidae
Description: lncRNA (ENSCGRG00015033984.1)
Source: RNAcentral